RNAcentral lists this ribosomal RNA (253 nucleotides) under uncultured bacterium. Its description in RNAcentral is "partial 16S ribosomal RNA". It matches the Rfam family "Bacterial small subunit ribosomal RNA", at positions 524 to 776 of the family's 1533-position model. The record is from RNAcentral.
UACGAAGGUCCCAAGCGUUAUCCGGAUUUAUUGGGUUUAAAGGGUGCAUAGGCGGGCUAUUAAGUCAGUGGUGAAAGCCCCAAGCUUAACUUGGGAACUGCCAUUGAUACUGAUGGUCUUGAGUACAUUUGAGGUGGGCGGAAUGUGUCAUGUAGCGGUGAAAUGCUUAGAUAUGACACAGAACACCGAUUGCGAAGGCAGCUCACUAAACUGUAACUGACGCUGAGGCACGAAAGCGUGGGGAGCAAACAGG